RNAcentral lists this long non-coding RNA (1343 nucleotides) under Sinocyclocheilus anshuiensis. RNAcentral describes it as "lncRNA (ENSSANG00000029422.1)". The record is from RNAcentral. Lineage: Eukaryota; Metazoa; Chordata; Actinopteri; Cypriniformes; Cyprinidae.
GUAGAAAUGAAAUGCACGGUUGAAAACAUAGUAGACACUCAUGAUUCCACAGAACAACCUAAGCACCUUGUAUCAGGAACAGCUAAGUUGACAGUAAGCAAAACUGAUUCCCAAACUAAUGCUACUCAGCCUGAUGGAUCGAAGACAUCUCAUUGUCUUGGGAGAACAAAGCAAUUGGAUCUUGAAUCAUGCUUUGUAAAACUGCAGCCUAUUCCCAUCAAGUGCAAUGAUCCAAUAUAUUUAAAUUCUCUAAAGAAUACUGACUGUGAAACUCAAACACUCUUGAAAGACAAGAAAUUGUUUUCUUUCCCACAGAGUCAGCUUGAGCCUUCAACAUUGAAGUCAUCUCUCUCUGUGACAAAAGCCAACAGAGAAGAAGGUCUGACUCAUGUGUGUCCAUUCGAAACCUGUACACGGAAAUACAGCACCUCAAAAAGUUUAUCGAGACAUGUCAAAAAUGUUCAUUCGGAGGCCUUUGAGGAGUGGAAGCUGUCAAAGAAGUACAAACGGAUUGCGGAAAUUGCUGCAAAAAAAUCUUCUGAGCACACAACCGCUAGUUCUCAGAUACCAAAAUGGACAAGCCGUUCCAAACAAACUGAACAUACUGCAUUUCUGGACUCAGUGAUUCAAAGUCCUUCUUCUGCUUUUUCCAAUCACGAUAGUAUGCAGUCUGCAAGUGCCAAGUUUUGCUCUCAGCUUGAAAACACUCAAAGUGCAACAUCACCAAACCCGACAGGUCUGAUGCAGUUACCAAUAACUCAGACAUGGGAAACACCCUCAAUGGAAAAUCUGGAUUCAGGUUUUUCUGUAAAUGAUCCUUACCGCUCUACGAUUUUAUCUGACAACCAACACACAAACCCGUCAUACCAUUCUGACACAGUCUUAAAUUAUGCAUCUCCCUCAUCUUACGAUGACAUCAUCCCCCUUUCUGUGAAUGCCCACACACCCUCCAGUGUGAUGAACGAAGCAAAAUAUGUGUCAAGCUCUCUUAGAGUACUACAUGCACUUAACAGCGAUCAGACUUGUGACUUGUCACAGGUUGAGUCAAGUGUUAAUCCUGGAUUCAGUCAAAUUGGACAAAACCAUCUCAAUGAUAUUUCCAUCAGCACUGGUUUGCUGCCAACAGGAUCAUUCUCUGGACACAAUGUCAGCCUAUAUUUUUCAACUUUGCCUUCCGAGGAAACUUCUAUUUCAGUGCAGCCAUUGGCAAAUUCAAACAAAGAAAUCAGCACUGAUAGUACCGAUGCAUUAUUCUCAUCAGAUAUCAAAUGUAUGUCGAAUCUUUUAAACCCUCAAUUUAAGGAAUCGGGAGAAGAUUUCUUUGGUGCUGCCCCCCUGACUGA